AGAGUUUGAUCAUGGCUCAGAAUCAACGCUGGCGGCGUGCCUAACACAUGCAAGUCGAACGCGAAAGUCCCGCAAGGGAUCAGUAGAGUGGCAAACGGGUGAGUAACACGUGGGUGACCUGCCUUCGAGUGGGGGAUAACGUCCCGAAAGGGACGCUAAUACCGCAUGACAUCCUGCCUUUGAAGAGGUGGAGCUUAAAGCUGGGGAUCGCAAGACCUAGCGCUUGAAGAGGGGCCCGCGCCUGAUUAGCUAGUUGGUGAGGUAACGGCUCACCAAGGCAACGAUCAGUAUCCGGCCUGAGAGGGCGGACGGACACACUGGGACUGAGACACGGCCCAGACUCCUACGGGAGGCAGCAGUGGGGAAUUGUUCGCAAUGGGCGCAAGCCUGACGACGCAACGCCGCGUGGAGGAUGAAGAUCUUCGGGUCGUAAACUCCUUUCGAUCGAGACGAACGGCCCCUGGGCUAAUCACCAGGGGAGUGACGGUACCGAGAGAAGAAGCCCCGGCUAACUCCGUGCCAGCAGCCGCGGUAAUACGGGGGGGGCAAGCGUUGUUCGGAAUUACUGGGCGUAAAGGGCUCGUAGGUGGCCAACUAAGUCAUACGUGAAAUCCCUCGGCUUAACCGGGGAACUGCGUCUGAUAUUGGAUGGCUUGAGGUUGGGAGAGGGAUGCGGAAUUCCAGGUGUAGCGGUGAAAUGCGUAGAUAUCUGGAGGAACACCGGUGGCGAAGGCGGCAUCCUGGACCAAUUCUGACACUGAGGAGCGAAAGCCAGGGGAGCAAACGGGAUUAGAUACCCCCGUAGUCC
This 808-nucleotide ribosomal RNA is filed under the name uncultured bacterium. Its description in RNAcentral is "bacterial SSU rRNA". It matches the Rfam family "Bacterial small subunit ribosomal RNA", at positions 8 to 796 of the family's 1533-position model. The record is from RNAcentral.